GGAAGAUCAAUUGCUUCACCUUCUUUUAUUUCCUUGUUUGUUCAAGUUCUCCAGACUUCUCAGAUAAUGCCCUUUCCAGUUCUCUUCAUCUUCUCAAUCGGGCGUGAGUAGAAGAGCUUAGAGCAUAACUUGGAGUUCUUCGCCGACAACAAUGGUGCUCUUUUUCCAUGUAUUUGCUGCUCUUUAAAUGUUCAACCUCUAGGAACAUAUUUUAUGAUAUGUACAGAGGUAAUAUUCUUUUUAGAGGAUUCUUUAUUUUAGUAUACCUGCUUCUUGAAUGUCUUUGAGGUUGUUUUACUUGAAAUUUCUCAAUAUUAUAAUCAUAUAUUUGGCAUAGUGCUCUAAUUCGAGGAAUUUGGAAUAGUAUUGAUUCUAUAUUUCAGAUCAAUUCUUACGGAUAAAUUAACACGAGUAGAUUGUGCUUAGAUGGAAUUUUACAGUAAUGCAAAUUACCUUUUUUCUUUGCCUUUCGCCGUCUGUUCAGGGAAUGCUUGUGCAUUGCUCCCUUUUUUUGUUUCUUCUGCUUUAGUGAUAAAAAACAUCCAGAAGCUUAUUGGAUUUCUAUUCCAAUUUUCUUUUUACUGGAUUGUUGUAAAAAGAAGUUCCUUUUUACUAAAUUCUGGUGGAUCAUCUUUAUAGUGAAGAUGAAGACCCUCCUACUACUUUCUUAAUAUUUCUCCAAACUCAUUUAGAAGUACACGGUUUAUUAAUAUAAUUAGAUCAUUGAUCAUUGUUCCACGGAAGAAUUACACUGAUAUAGUGGCUUUCAAUUAUGAAAAAAGAUAUAGGAACCCAAGAGCUUAAUUCUCAGAAGAUAGAAUAUUAAUAUGUGCUUCCGGUUAUGUUGGUUUGUGUUGCAUUUUAGGCAUGUGUGUGACAUCUGUUGGUGGUGAACUUAACACAACAUUGUCCCUUUCCGGGGAACAUGCUUCACAAAUAUUUAGUGAGUUGCUUCUCCAUUUCUUUUUCAGUUAGAUCAUGUGGUUAAUAGCGAACAAUCUUAGUUGAAGAUUAGAAUCUUUGUUUGCUACGAAGAUAGGUAUACAUAGAAAAGCUAAGAUGGUCGACUAAGGGCAUAUUGAACUUUUCUAAUCUUUACUUUAGUUAGUAUGCGGUGUCUUUUACGGGGUUCCGUCUUUUACCCUAAGCAGAAUUGCCACGUACCCCUCCUCUAUUUUGCUUUCUUUGUGGCUCUAAAAUCUUCUAGAGCUUUUCCAUUCAUCGUCUUCCACUUUGCCUGGGUUUUAGCAUCUCUGUGCUUCUUUUUCCCCCUCCAGUUAGAGUAGGACGCUAUGGAGAUACACAUUUUUUUAUCCUUUAAUACACGCUUUUCCCUCUAUGGCAAUAUAGUUGCUCCUGGGACUGGGCUAUUGUUGCAGUUCUUUGCCGCUACCCUCGCUUAGAGAUUUAUGGUGUUCUACCACUUCUGAUUGGUUCACAAUUACCUUGGUGGAACUUGUUCAGGGCUCUGAUUGAAGCCAGUAUUUUCAUUAUGUUUCUUCUUGACUCUUGAGUUUGAAAGUUGUAGAGAGAGGAGAUAUAUCAUAAAGAUCAUGUCAGUUUGCAAUACAUACAUGUCGAGUCAAGGGUGCAGGCAUAAGUUGUAGUUAUACAUGGUGAAACAGAAAAUGUUAGCACUUUCCUACCCACAAGCCGCAUUAGCAGAAAGAGAAGGGAGUUAAUUUCAGCAGGUAUAAACGUAGAAGGGGAAAAAGUGGACUCUGGAAGUUUAUAGAGUGAAACAUAUUGCCUUGGCUACAUACAAUUGCACAAGAGGUGAUUGAAGGCGAUAUUUUCUUUAAUUAAGUUCAUGGCUAACACACCCAUGUUGAGUGAUUUUUCAAGAUACCAUAAGAUCGAAGGUGACUUUUUCACAAUUUGGAGAUAUCAGCCGAUGUACAUAUUUGCCAUCGUGGGGUUUUUAUGUCUAAUCUUGUCUUUGUUCU
Nicotiana tabacum (common tobacco) is the source of this 1946-nucleotide non-coding RNA. The record is from RefSeq and is a predicted model, not a curated record. NCBI's taxonomy places the organism in Eukaryota, Viridiplantae, Streptophyta, Magnoliopsida, Solanales, Solanaceae.